ACGGACGCGCAUGAAAUUUGGUGCCGUGACUCGGAUCAGGUGAACUCCCCUGGGAGAUCAAUCCCCUGUCCUCCUGCUCUUUGCUCCAUGAGAAAGAUCCACCUACGACCUCUGGUCCUCAGACCAGCCAGCCCAAGGAACAUCUCACCAAUUUUAAAUCCGAAACAAUGAAUUCCGGAAAGGAGAUGGAGCAAGAUGGCCUAAUAGAAGCCUUCACUGAUUGUCUACCCUGCAGGAACACCAAAUUAAACAACUAUCCACACAAGAAAGCACCCUCAGAACAACCAAAAAUCAGAAAAAGCUGGCUGCCCUCUGUUCUAAACUCUUAAAUUUGUGGAUCAGCUCAUGGAAUCAACUUAAGUGUCCAUAACGGAUGGAUUGGAUAAAGAAAAUGUGGUACAUAUGCACCAUGGAAUACUACACAGACAUUAAAAAAAAUCACGUCCUUGUCAGCAACAUGGAUGCAGCUGGAGGUCAUUAUCCUAAGUGAAUCAACACAGAAACAGAACAUCAAACACUGCAUUUUCUCGUAAGUGGAAGCUGAACUGUGGGUACACAGGAACAUAAAGAUGAAAAUAAUAGACACUGGGGGCUCUAAAAGUGGGGAGAGAAAGAGGAGGACAAGGGUUGAAAAACUACCUAUUGAGUAUCUAUGUUCACUCUUUGGGUGAUGGGUUCACCAGAAUCCCAAAUGCCAGCAUUAUGCAAUACACCCAUGCAAUAAACCUGCACAUGUACCCCUGAAUUUGUAAUAAAAAUUUGAACAUCAUCA
RNAcentral lists this long non-coding RNA (772 nucleotides) under Homo sapiens (human). Its description in RNAcentral is "HSALNT0271380". The record is from RNAcentral. Lineage: Eukaryota; Metazoa; Chordata; Mammalia; Primates; Hominidae.